Long non-coding RNA from Etheostoma spectabile (orangethroat darter), 260 nucleotides. RefSeq lists it as uncharacterized. The transcript is spliced from 3 exons. The record is from RefSeq and is a predicted model, not a curated record. NCBI's taxonomy places the organism in Eukaryota, Metazoa, Chordata, Actinopteri, Perciformes, Percidae.
GAGAAUGCUAUCUGGAUGAACUGAAUAAGAGAGGUGAUGAUGGUUCUAACUUUUCAGAAGAGCGACUGAUUAUGUACACUCUAGAUCUUCACUUAGCUGGGACAGACACCACCUCCAACACCCUGCUUACUGGUUUCCUCUACCUUAUGACCUACCCACACAUACAAGAGCGUUGUCAGCAGGAGAUGGACGAGGUGUCGGAAGGGAAGCAUCCGGCCAGUUUUGACGACAGACACAACAUGCCUUGCAUGCAGGUUAUA